CUUGGGAAUAUGCCUUAUGGUGGGGGACAACAGUUGGAAACGACUGCUAAUACCGCAUAACAUCUCCGGAUCAAAGUGGGGGACCUUCGGGCCUCACGCCAUAAGAGUAGCCCAAGUGGGAUUAGCUAGUUGGUAAGGUAAUGGCUUACCAAGGCGACGAUCCCUAGUUGGUCUUAGAGGAUGACCAGCCACACUGGAACUGAGACACGGUCCAGACUCCUACGGGAGGCAGCAGUGGGGAAUAUUGCACAAUGGGCGCAAGCCUGAUGCAGCCAUGCCGCGUGUGUGAAGAAGGCUUUCGGGUUGUAAAGCACUUUCAGCGAGGAGGAAAGGUUGUACUUUAAUAGAGUGCAGCUGUGACGUUACUCGCAGAAGAAGCACCGGCUAACUCCGUGCCAGCAGCCGCGGUAAUACGGAGGGUGCGAGCGUUAAUCGGAAUUACUGGGCGUAAAGCGCGCGUAGGCGGUUAAUUAAGUCAGAUGUGAAAUCCCAGGGCUCAACCUUGGAACUGCAUUUGAAACUGGUUAACUAGAGUUUUGUAGAGGGUGGUAGAAUUUCAGGUGUAGCGGUGAAAUGCGUAGAGAUCUGAAGGAAUACCAGUGGCGAAGGCGGCCACCUGGACAAAGACUGACGCUGAGGCGCGAAGGCGUGGGGAGCAAACGGGAUUAGAUACCCCGGUAGUCCACGCAGUAAACGAUGUCUAUUAGAAUUUUGUGGCUAUAUGCCGUGGGAUUCAAAGCUAACGCAUUAAAUAGACCGCCUGGGGAGUACGGCCGCAAGGUUAAAACUCAAAUGAAUUGACGGGGGCCCGCACAAGCGGUGGAGCAUGUGGUUUAAU
RNAcentral lists this ribosomal RNA (838 nucleotides) under Psychromonas arctica. RNAcentral's name for it is "bacterial SSU rRNA". It matches the Rfam family "Bacterial small subunit ribosomal RNA", at positions 116 to 950 of the family's 1533-position model. The record is from RNAcentral. Lineage: Bacteria; Pseudomonadati; Pseudomonadota; Gammaproteobacteria; Alteromonadales; Psychromonadaceae.